UGGGGAAUUUUGGACAAUGGGCGAAAGCCUGAUCCAGCAAUGCCGCGUGUGUGAAGAAGGCCUUCGGGUUGUAAAGCACUUUUGUCCGGAAAGAAAUCCUUGGCUCUAAUACAGUCGGGGGAUGACGGUACCGGAAGAAUAAGCACCGGCUAACUACGUGCCAGCAGCCGCGGUAAUACGUAGGGUGCAAGCGUUAAUCGGAAUUACUGGGCGUAAAGCGUGCGCAGGCGGUUUGCUAAGACCGAUGUGAAAUCCCCGGGCUCAACCUGGGAACUGCAUUGGUGACUGGCAGGCUAGAGUAUGGCAGAGGGGGGUAGAAUUCCACGUGUAGCAGUGAAAUGCGUAGAGAUGUGGAGGAAUACCGAUGGCGAAGGCAGCCCCCUGGGCCAAUACUGACGCUCAUGCGCGAAAGCGUGGGGAGCAAACAGGAUUAGAUACCCUGGUAGUCCACGCCCUAAACGAUGUCAACUAGUUGUUGGGGAUUCAUUUCCUUAGUAACGUAGCUAACGCGUGAAGUUGACCGCCUGGGGGAGUACGGUCGCAAGAUUAAAACUUAAAUGAAUUGACGGGGUCAUAGCUGUUUCCU
Molecule: ribosomal RNA, 586 nt
Filed under: uncultured bacterium
Lineage: Bacteria
Description: partial 16S ribosomal RNA
Rfam family: Bacterial small subunit ribosomal RNA
Source: RNAcentral